GCGGCGGACGGGUGAGUAAUGCCUAGGAAUCUGCCUGGUAGUGGGGGAUAACGUCUGGAAACGGCCGCUAAUACCGCAUACGUCCUGAGGGAGAAAGUCGGGGAUCUUCGGACCUCACGCUAUCAGAUGAGCCUAGGUCGGAUUAGCUAGUUGGUGGGGUAAAGGCCUACCAAGGCGACGAUCCGUAACUGGUCUGAGAGGAUGAUCAGUCACACUGGAACUGAGACACGGUCCAGACUCCUACGGGAGGCAGCAGUGGGGAAUAUUGGACAAUGGGCGCAAGCCUGAUCCAGCCAUGCCGCGUGUGUGAAGAAGGUCUUCGGAUUGUAAAGCACUUUAAGUUGGGAGGAAGGGCAGUAAGUUAAUACCUUGCUGUUUGACGUUACCAACAGAAUAAGCACCGGCUAACUUCGUGCCAGCAGCCGCGGUAAUACGAAGGGUGCAAGCGUUAAUCGGAAUUACUGGGCGUAAAGCGCGCGUAAGUGGUUCAGCAAGCUUGAUGUGAAAUCCCCGGGCUCAACCUGGGAACUGCAUCCAAAACUACUGAGCUAGAGUACGGUAGAGGGUGGUAGAAUUUCCUGUGUAGCGGUGAAAUGCGUAGAUAUAGGAAGGAACACCAGUGGCGAAGGCGACCACCUGGACUGAUACUGACACUGAGGUGCGAAAGCGUGGGGAGCAAACAGGAUUAGAUACCCUGGUAGUCCACGCCGUAGACGAUGUCGACUAGGCGUUGGGAUCCGUGAGAUCGUAGUGGCGCACGUAACGCGAUAAGUCGACCGGCUGGGGAGUACGGCCGCAAGGUUAAGACUCAAAUGAAUUGACGGGGGCCGGCACAAGCGGUGGAGCAUGUGGGUUAAUUC
RNAcentral lists this ribosomal RNA (860 nucleotides) under Pseudomonas aeruginosa. Its description in RNAcentral is "bacterial SSU rRNA". It matches the Rfam family "Bacterial small subunit ribosomal RNA", at positions 95 to 952 of the family's 1533-position model. Lineage: Bacteria; Pseudomonadati; Pseudomonadota; Gammaproteobacteria; Pseudomonadales; Pseudomonadaceae. The record is from RNAcentral.